GGACGAAUCCUCGCGCGGUGUGAACGCGUGGUCGUGGCGGCGGUGGCGAUCCCGAGGAGGGGGCCACCGCGCUGGAAUCCAUGGGCGGACGCCUGCCGCGUGGCCGAGCGUGAUAUGAUGCAUUGGCGCUCGCGCGCGGCGUGGCUGCCGGCCCUUGCCCGUCCGUCGGGCGGGGGAGAAGCAAGACAUU
RNAcentral lists this unclassified non-coding RNA (190 nucleotides) under uncultured Helvella. RNAcentral describes it as "sequence contains ITS2". Lineage: Eukaryota; Fungi; Ascomycota; Pezizomycetes; Pezizales; Helvellaceae. The record is from RNAcentral.